AAUGAACGCUGGCGGCAGGCCUAAAACAUGCAAGUCGAACGGAUCCUUCGGGAUUAGUGGCGGACGGGUGAGUAACGCGUGGGAACAUACCCUUUGGUACGGAAUAGCCUCGGGAAACUGGGAGUAAUACCGUAUGUGGUCGAGAGACGAAAGAUUUAUCGCCAACGGAUUUGCCCGCGUUGGAUUAGGUAGUUGGUGGGGUAAUGGCCUACCAAGCCGACGAUCCAUAGCUGGUUUGAGAGGAUGAUCAGCCACACUGGGACUGAGACACGGCCCAGACUCCUACGGGAGGCAGCAGUGGGGAAUCUUAGACAAUGGGGGAAACCCUGAUCUAGCCAUGCCGCGUGAUCGAUGAAGGCCUUAGGGUUGUAAAGAUCUUUCAGUUGGGAAGAUAAUGACUGUACCACCAGAAGAAGCCCCGGCUAACUCCGUGCCAGCCGCCGCCGUAA
This 449-nucleotide ribosomal RNA is filed under the name uncultured bacterium. Its description in RNAcentral is "partial 16S ribosomal RNA". It matches the Rfam family "Bacterial small subunit ribosomal RNA", at positions 29 to 523 of the family's 1533-position model. The record is from RNAcentral.